ACCUAAUAGAUACCCUGGUAGUCCACGCCCUAAACGAUGCGAACUGGAUGUUGGGUACAUUACGGUACUCAGUGUCGAAAGCUAAACGCGUUAAGUUCGCCGCCUGGGGAGUACGGUCGCAAGACUGAAACUCAAAGGAAUUGACGGGGGCCCGGCACAAGCGGUGGAGUAUGUGGUUUAAUUACGAUGCAACGCGAAGAACCUUACCUGGCCUUGACAUCUGUCGAAUCCUGCAGAGAUGCGGGAGUGCCGCAAGGAACGACAAGACAGGUGCUGCAUGGCUGUCGUCAGCUCGUGUCGUGAGAUGUUGGGUUAAGUUCCCGCAACGAGCGCAACCCUUGUCCCUAGUUGCCAGCACAUCAUGGUGGGAACUCUAGGGAGACUGCCGGUGACAAACCGGAGGAAGGUGGGGAUGACGUCA
Molecule: ribosomal RNA, 421 nt
Filed under: uncultured bacterium
Lineage: Bacteria
Description: bacterial SSU rRNA
Rfam family: Bacterial small subunit ribosomal RNA
Source: RNAcentral